UCCCAGGUGGCUCAGUGGUAAAGAAUCUGCCUGCCAAGCUGUAGAUGCAGGUUCAGUCCCUGGCUUGGAAA
RNAcentral lists this transfer RNA (71 nucleotides) under Ovis aries (sheep). It matches the Rfam family "tRNA". Rfam says of the family: Transfer RNA (tRNA) molecules are approximately 80 nucleotides in length. Their secondary structure includes four short double-helical elements and three loops (D, anti-codon, and T loops). Lineage: Eukaryota; Metazoa; Chordata; Mammalia; Artiodactyla; Bovidae. The record is from Rfam by way of RNAcentral.